UCUCUCUAUUCUAAAGAACACCCCGCACGUUAAGGGCAGAGUCUUUAGGAGACUACUACAAAAUAGGGCCAAGAAACGAAAUCCUUAAGGGUAUGAAAUAUUCACGUGACAGGAAUUUUGUUAACAAUUCAAUAUUCCUUGUACUAUGUAACCUAGACUUAAAAAAAUAAUAAUUCUGAGUUCCAGGCACCCCACCCCAGGCCCCAACUUGGAAAAUGCCUUGAAUUCUUUCCUAUCAACUCUGUCUCAUUGUACAGAAUUCAACCCAGGCGGCCAGGGUGGAGGAUUGUCCAAAUGCUGUGGGUUUCACAGGCUUCUCUGGGCCCACAUGGCGCCCUGGGCAUUCCCCCAGCAGUUCCCUCCACAUUUCUGUUUGAAGUAAG
Orcinus orca (killer whale) is the source of this 383-nucleotide long non-coding RNA. RefSeq lists it as uncharacterized. The transcript is spliced from 3 exons. The record is from RefSeq and is a predicted model, not a curated record. Lineage: Eukaryota; Metazoa; Chordata; Mammalia; Artiodactyla; Delphinidae.